Molecule: ribosomal RNA, 2033 nt
Filed under: Shigella sonnei
Lineage: Bacteria; Pseudomonadati; Pseudomonadota; Gammaproteobacteria; Enterobacterales; Enterobacteriaceae
Description: partial 23S ribosomal RNA
Rfam family: Bacterial large subunit ribosomal RNA
Source: RNAcentral
GAGCACUGUUUCGGCAAGGGGGUCAUCCCGACUUACCAACCCGAUGCAAACUGCGAAUACCGGAGAAUGUUAUCACGGGAGACACACGGCGGGUGCUAACGUCCGUCGUGAAGAGGGAAACAACCCAGACCGCCAGCUAAGGUCCCAAAGUCAUGGUUAAGUGGGAAACGAUGUGGGAAGGCCCAGACAGCCAGGAUGUUGGCUUAGAAGCAGCCAUCAUUUAAAGAAAGCGUAAUAGCUCACUGGUCGAGUCGGCCUGCGCGGAAGAUGUAACGGGGCUAAACCAUGCACCGAAGCUGCGGCAGCGAUGCUUAUGCGUUGUUGGGUAGGGGAGCGUUCUGUAAGCCUGCGAAGGUGUGCUGUGAGGCAUGCUGGAGGUAUCAGAAGUGCGAAUGCUGACAUAAGUAACGAUAAAGCGGGUGAAAAGCCCGCUCGCCGGAAGACCAAGGGUUCCUGUCCAACGUUAAUCGGGGCAGGGUGAGUCGACCCCUAAGGCGAGGCCGAAAGGCGUAGUCGAUGGGAAACAGGUUAAUAUUCCUGUACUUGGUGUUACUGCGAAGGGGGGACGGAGAAGGCUAUGUUGGCCGGGCGACGGUUGUCCCGGUUUAAGCGUGUAGGCUGGUUUUCCAGGCAAAUCCGGAAAAUCAAGGCUGAGGCGUGAUGACGAGGCACUACGGUGCUGAAGCAACAAAUGCCCUGCUUCCAGGAAAAGCCUCUAAGCAUCAGGUAACAUCAAAUCGUACCCCAAACCGACACAGGUGGUCAGGUAGAGAAUACCAAGGCGCUUGAGAGAACUCGGGUGAAGGAACUAGGCAAAAUGGUGCCGUAACUUCGGGAGAAGGCACGCUGAUAUGUAGGUGAAGUCCCUUGCGGAUGGAGCUGAAAUCAGUCGAAGAUACCAGCUGGCUGCAACUGUUUAUUAAAAACACAGCACUGUGCAAACACGAAAGUGGACGUAUACGGUGUGACGCCUGCCCGGUGCCGGAAGGUUAAUUGAUGGGGUCAGCGCAAGCGAAGCUCUUGAUCGAAGCCCCGGUAAACGGCGGCCGUAACUAUAACGGUCCUAAGGUAGCGAAAUUCCUUGUCGGGUAAGUUCCGACCUGCACGAAUGGCGUAAUGAUGGCCAGGCUGUCUCCACCCGAGACUCAGUGAAAUUGAACUCGCUGUGAAGAUGCAGUGUACCCGCGGCAAGACGGAAAGACCCCGUGAACCUUUACUAUAGCUUGACACUGAACAUUGAGCCUUGAUGUGUAGGAUAGGUGGGAGGCUUUGAAGUGUGGACGCCAGUCUGCAUGGAGCCGGCCUUGAAAUACCACCCUUUAAUGUUUGAUGUUCUAACGUGGACCCGUGAUCCGGGUUGCGGACAGUGUCUGGUGGGUAGUUUGACUGGGGCGGUCUCCUCCUAAAGAGUAACGGAGGAGCACGAAGGUUGGCUAAUCCUGGUCGGACAUCAGGAGGUUAGUGCAAUGGCAUAAGCCAGCUUGACUGCGAGCGUGACGGCGCGAGCAGGUGCGAAAGCAGGUCAUAGUGAUCCGGUGGUUCUGAAUGGAAGGGCCAUCGCUCAACGGAUAAAAGGUACUCCGGGGAUAACAGGCUGAUACCGCCCAAGAGUUCAUAUCGACGGCGGUGUUUGGCACCUCGAUGUCGGCUCAUCACAUCCUGGGGCUGAAGUAGGUCCCAAGGGUAUGGCUGUUCGCCAUUUAAAGUGGUACGCGAGCUGGGUUUAGAACGUCGUGAGACAGUUCGGUCCCUAUCUGCCGUGGGCGCUGGAGAACUGAGGGGGGCUGCUCCUAGUACGAGAGGACCGGAGUGGACGCAUCACUGGUGUUCGGGUUGUCAUGCCAAUGGCACUGCCCGGUAGCUAAAUGCGGAAGAGAUAAGUGCUGAAAGCAUCUAAGCACGAAACUUGCCCCGAGAUGAGUUCUCCCUGACCCUUUAAGGGUCCUGAAGGAACGUUGAAGACGACGACGUUGAUAGGCCGGGUGUGUAAGCGCAGCGAUGCGUUGAGCUAACCGGUACUAAUGAACCGUGAG